This 21-nucleotide non-coding RNA is filed under the name Caenorhabditis elegans. The record is from RNAcentral. Lineage: Eukaryota; Metazoa; Nematoda; Chromadorea; Rhabditida; Rhabditidae.
UCUGCUCGAUAGAGAUACAUA